AUUUCUAAAUCGCUGAAACCAUAUGGUACGGGGGAACCGUGUUUGCGGGUUGAUCUAUAACCCAAGGGGUGAAUCCUUUAAAAGGUAGGGCUACUCAAUGGUCCGAAUCCGACAGCUAACCUCGUAAGCGUUAUAUGAGAAGGAAG
This 146-nucleotide small RNA is filed under the name Neobacillus bataviensis. RNAcentral's name for it is "Bacillus bataviensis c-di-AMP sequence". It matches the Rfam family "c-di-AMP riboswitch aptamer (ydaO/yuaA leader)". Rfam says of the family: This family represents a conserved RNA structure found upstream of the ydaO and yuaA genes in Bacillus subtilis and related genes in other bacteria. The record is from RNAcentral. Lineage: Bacteria; Bacillati; Bacillota; Bacilli; Caryophanales; Bacillaceae. RNAcentral also lists the same sequence under 1 other name.